This 405-nucleotide unclassified non-coding RNA is filed under the name soil metagenome. Its description in RNAcentral is "partial contains 5.8S ribosomal RNA, internal transcribed spacer 2, and large subunit ribosomal RNA". The stretch from base 1 to 121 matches the Rfam family "5.8S ribosomal RNA", at positions 35 to 154 of the family's 154-position model. The record is from RNAcentral.
GAUGAAGAACGUAGCGAAAUGCGUUAAGUAAUGUGAAUUGCAGAAUUCAGUGAAUCAUCGAAUCUUUGAACGCACCUUGCGCCCUUUGGACAUUCCGAAGGGCAUGCCUGUUUGAGUAUCAUGAACACCUCAACUCUCACGGCUUGUCCGUGAUGAGCUUGGACUUUGGGGGUCUUGCCGGCCUGUGGUCGGCUCCUCUCAAAUGGAUCAGCUUGCCAGUGUUUGGUGGCAUCACAGGUGUGAUAACUAUCUGCGCCUGUGGUUUUCCAUCAGAUACCCUUCAGUGAUAUGGAGGUUCGCUGGAGCUCACAAAUGUCUCUCCUUAGUGAGGACAGCUCUUUGAACGUUUGAUCUCAAAUCAGGUAGGACUACCCGCUGAACUUAAGCAUAUCAAUAAGCGGAGGA